Molecule: long non-coding RNA, 3414 nt
Organism: Micropterus salmoides (largemouth bass)
Lineage: Eukaryota; Metazoa; Chordata; Actinopteri; Centrarchiformes; Centrarchidae
Exons: 3
Source: RefSeq, a predicted model, not a curated record
ACUAACACCAUUAAACAACCCAGCAAAACACAGACUCCAACAAAAAAUCCAUCAUAAACUCCAUGUAACGAUAAAAAAACCAAUAAAGUUUUAGUGACAUUCUAAUGAACUGGUCAGCCUUAGCACAUUUAUUUAUUAUUAUGUUGCUUUUACCCACAACCUGCCAAUGGACUGCAGAUGUGAAUUAGCUUGAAGCUACAAUCUGGUACAGUGCAUCAAAUGGUAAUGUUUAUGUUUUACUGUACGCUUGCCCUUUUUAAAUAAAUAAAUGAGAAUUAAAAAAAAAUAACAAAGUUUUAUGUGCUGAAGCCCAUCAGGCCAAAGGAGAAUCAAAUCGAUGUAUGGUGAAAACACAGUCAACAUCAGAAAUGCUUGAGUCAUGGAAGGACCUGUGCUCGGUUUUGAGACUGACAAAACCAACACAGAGUUGGCUUUCAUCCUAUUGGACAGGUAAACUAAAAUUACUGCAAAGAAUGUCAAACACAGUGUGAUGUUGUGCUUGAGUUAGACAAGUUAGACACCGAGCUGUAACUAACAUUAUCCGGUGCAAAAUUAUGGCUUUCCACAUUACUUAACCAGCUAAUGCGACCCAUAUUACUAUCCUGUGAACCACCAGUAAAAUGUCAAAGUGCUGAUUUAGCUUGCAAGAAAUGAUGUAAUGGUACAAAGCAAAUGUGGAAAGAUUUGUUUUUACUAGCCUAUAAUAAUGCAAGGCAGGAGCAGCCAGAUAAAUUAGCACAGAUCUGCCGCUGUUUGCUUCGUAAUGUAUAAUUUAGAUGUAUUGUUGUUAUACCAAUGCUCAGGUACAAAGCUUUAUCACCGGUUUCAGUCCCUGUAACUUACGUCGCCCACAUAACAUAGUAAUGCAACCUUACCAGCUGUUCCAGCAGAAAUAUGGUUGUUGGUAGUGAAAAGCUCUGCUGGAGUGCUUUUGUAGAUUUCCCAACACAUCUAGAUAUAGGAAUCGUAAAUAUUCAUCAUGUUGAAUAUUUCGGGGCACGUCCGCUGAUCAGAAAUCCUGAUGUGUGGGGGGGAUCCCCGAGGAGCAUAAGAAACACAGUCAUGGCGCAGCACAAGGUGAAAUUAAUGUGGACAGCAGAGAUGGAGGAUCAGCUUGUAGAUUUGUGGCAACAGCAAGAAUGUUUGUUCAACGUCGCAAUUUCUUCCUGCAUAUCGUCCGCCAUGCUUAUUCUGAAGUGAGAUUUCGCGAGAUUUCCUGUAUUCUAGACUCGGGUUGAAAAUCUGUUUGUGUGUGGUGUGCCAUGAUGUGACAAAGACAGCACUAUAGGAGCAAAACUGUUAAAUCUAGGAUUUUUUCUCCUCAUGUUUGUGGUCUAUCACAUUUUGAAAAUCUUAUAAGAUGUAAAAAAUCCUUUGGUGUGUACCCAGCAUAAGAAUAGAAAGUGUCACAUGCAUAGGUAAAUUUGUGAUAUUGAGCUAUAUAAACAAAAUUAGAUUUUUGACCAGUAAAUUAUUGAGACCAAACUGUAGCCAGUUCUUUGCUAAAAAUAGUUAGAAUAUGGUACCACGGUAAAUUAUUAGAGAGACUGAGAAACAGUGGUACCAAGGCAAUGUUUAAAUGAAUAAACACUACAGUGACUUUUCUGGAGAAAGUAUCUACAUAAGUGUGCAGAGGUGCUUCCAAUUCAAAGAGGCUGCUUGCAGUUGAAAUGGGGAAAUGCUGAAAGCAGAUUAUUUCUGUAUGACUCUGUUGGUACUUAAUGCACUUGAUCUGUCUUAAGGUAUGUUUUUAAUACGUGACUAAUAACAAUGUUCAUUUGACCAUCAUCACUGUAGAUAUUAGUUAGUAAUAAAGAGACCCAACAGCGAUACACAGUAUGUGUGCAGUGUGUGUUGUGGAUUGCUGAAGCGAUUUUUAGAGUAAGUUAUAUAUGACAUACAGUUGAUCAAUAUUAACACUUCAAAACACACAUCACAAGAAAAAAACACUUUAGGAGAAGUGUUCCAUGCUUGUGCUGGUUUGUCGGUUUCUCAAGAUGACAAAAAUCGCACAUUGACAGUAGGGCCUACUUCUCUUUUCAAAACGUUUUACAUUACUUCAGUAAUCGAGAGGGUAAAGGGGCAAACAAAACAUUUUCUUUUCAUUAUUCAUUGUUAAAGGUGUAAAUGUGUAAUUAGUUAUAAGAUACACAUAAUGUGAUAUUGCAAAAUUAUAAGUGUGUAAAAGCCUGCCAGUGUUUGGGCAGGAGAAAUAUUGCUCAGCAAUGUCUAGGGACUUCCUGAAACCUUGUUGUUGCACAAAGAGGGAAGGAAUAGAAAAGUGAGGAGAGGAAGGGUCAGUUCAGAACUUAAACACUGUUCAUGAAGGAGAACCGGAGAACGAGGUCGAAAGAGUGUGAAGUUUGUCCUGUGGAGUGAUCAUCAAAUCGGGAUGUUUGUUCUCAUCUGGGCGACUUUGCUUUUCUCUGCGAGAGACAGCAUUGCAGACACAGGAGCAUCAGUGGAGAAAAGAACACGCUGUCAAAGUGGAUUCUGUAUCUGUAUCAGUCAAAGUUGCUAUAGAUAAUGGUUUUAGAGAUUUGAGGUGACAUGUAAAGAUUUUAUGUGUAAGCAGUUGUAAAAAACUGUAACUGACUCUGGCCCUUUUAUCUAUUUGUUUGGUGGAAACUUCUGAUUAGUGUGUUAUCAAUUUUAACUAUCUGUGUUUCCACCUGUGCUGAUUGAGUGAACAAUAUCGAAUGUUAGUGUUUUCUCAAUCAUUUUAGUUCAGAAGCCUGGUUAUAGUUUUUAAGCAAUGGAGAAAAACUGUAUUAAAGAGACUGAGAAACAGUGGUACUGAGGCAAUGUUUAAAUGAAUAAACAGUACUGAAAGAAAGAGAUGAGCUGACUACUCACAUACUCACAUACUUGGGUUCAGAAAAUCAACCACCCACUACCGAAUUGACGGGUCAAGUCACAAAGAGUCCAGAAUUUCUAGUUAAGACUCCUUUAUUGCCAAAUUGUGGUAGGUGUGUGUGUGGUUCUGAAAUGAGGAAUAAUAUACAGAGUAAGGCACCAUAUUACAACCCAUUAAACCAGUCAUUAUUAAGAACUAAAUGAGAAAAAAAAUUAAAUAAACACCGCUAUACCUAGAACGGCCACAAGGUAGCACCACAGUGAUGCCAGCUAACCACCUUUCCACACCUUGACCACUUUUCCACUCUAAAAUUAUCUCAUUAAAGAAAGCAGUUGACAGCUAGGCAGCUAUUAAUAAUAAAAAGGUGCAUUGAAUGUAAUUACAUUAAGCACAAGCUCUACACAUAUAGAACUAGCACUGUAGAUACUCACUUGCUCGUAAAUGGGCCUAAUUGACAUGACUAACAGUAGCUACAGUGAGCUAGAGCAAGAUUUAGACAAGAAAAGGGGAAGACUAUAACUAUAAUAAUGUGAAACUUAAAGUACUUACAGUUCAAU